AGAGAGAGAAUUUUUAAAAAGCAGCUGGGGCCUGGGGUUUCUCCCCCAGUACCCUGGGUCACCUCAGCCCAGAGCUGGCGGCAGGCCCCCAGCCCCUCAUGUCAGAGCCCCCUGUGUACUGUAACCUGGUGGACCUUCGCCGCUGUCCUCGGUCCCCACCCCCAGGCCCUGCAUGCCCCCUGCUGCAGAGGCUGGAUGCCUGGGAGCAGCACCUGGACCCCAACUCUGGACGCUGCUUCUACAUAAAUUCACUGACUGGCUGCAAGUCCUGGAAGCCCCCGCGCCGCAGUCGCAGCGAG
RNAcentral lists this long non-coding RNA (299 nucleotides) under Pan troglodytes (chimpanzee). Its description in RNAcentral is "long non-coding RNA NONPTRT003421". The record is from RNAcentral. Lineage: Eukaryota; Metazoa; Chordata; Mammalia; Primates; Hominidae.